Molecule: small RNA, 288 nt
Filed under: Gracilibacillus massiliensis
Lineage: Bacteria; Bacillati; Bacillota; Bacilli; Caryophanales; Bacillaceae
Description: 5' ureB small RNA
Rfam family: 5' ureB small RNA
Source: RNAcentral
AAUUUGUUGUGGACUAAUAAAAUGAAUAUGAGCAUCGAUUGCACCGGCUGUUACAAUCUUAUUUUCACAUGCGAUUACUUCUGUUGAGGCUCCUACAAUCAUAUUUUCAGUAACACCUUCCAUGACAUCAGGGUUACCACCCUUACCAAUCGCCACAAUUCGACCAUUUUUCACACCUAUAUCUGCUUUAACAAUACCGGUAUAAUCUAAGAUAAGCGCGUUGGUCAAAAUCAAAUCUAAAACAUUCUCAUCUCUUGUUCUAGUACUGCUUUGUCCCAUGCCGUCUCG